This 468-nucleotide ribosomal RNA is filed under the name uncultured bacterium. Its description in RNAcentral is "partial 16S ribosomal RNA". It matches the Rfam family "Bacterial small subunit ribosomal RNA", at positions 28 to 507 of the family's 1533-position model. The record is from RNAcentral.
GACGAACGCUGGCGGCGUGCUUAACACAUGCAAGUCGAACGGAAAGGCCCUGCUUUUGUGGGGUGCUCGAGUGGCGAACGGGGGAGUAACAAGUGAGUAACCUGCCCUUGACUUUGGGAUAACUUCAGGAAACUGGGGCUAAUACCGGAUAGGAGCUCCUGCUGCAUGGGGGGGGUUGGAAAGUUUCGGCGGUUGGGGAUGGACUCGCGGCUUAUCAGCUUGUUGGUGGGGUAGUGGCUUACCAAGGCUUUGACGGGUAGCCGGCCUGAGAGGGUGACCGGCCACAUUGGGACUGAGAUACGGCCCAGACUCCUACGGGAGGCAGCAGUGGGGAAUAUUGCACAAUGGGCGGAAGCCUGAUGCAGCAACGCCGCGUGCGGGAUGACGGCCUUCGGGUUGUAAACCGCUUUCGCCUGUGACGAAGCGUGAGUGACGGUAAUGGGUAAAGAAGCACCGGCUAACUACGUG